This is a long non-coding RNA of Bicyclus anynana (squinting bush brown), 825 nucleotides long. RefSeq lists it as uncharacterized. Lineage: Eukaryota; Metazoa; Arthropoda; Insecta; Lepidoptera; Nymphalidae. The record is from RefSeq and is a predicted model, not a curated record. The transcript has 2 exons.
CAGGUCGAGUGGAACUUGGAAGGGAUGGCGUAACUUCGGCGCCAAUGGAGCGCGGUUCCUGAACUCUUCUUAUUGUUGGCACUGAUUUAAAGCUAGAGAAACUGUGGAGUAGCUGACAUCUAUACUAAUAUUAUAAAGAGAUAGUUUAUGGUAUUGUAGGGGGUAAUCUCUGUAUUUACUGACCUGCUUUUGAAAAUUCUUUUACCACAAAAAGGCACGCGAGUGUCAUAGGCUAUAUUUUAUUCCCGUAUCCGCGUAGUUCCCGUUCACGGGAAAAUGAAUGAAAUAAAUGAAUUAUAAGUAAUAUAAAUUAUAACAAUAAUUGGUUUUGUCCAUGUAGGUUAAUGCCCAAAGAAUGAUCACGCUGGGCAUGCGGAUUGGUCAUUCGCAGGGAUGGAUUUUUCCGCACCGGUGUCGCUGCUGCCCGACACCGGCCUGUGCCAUUUAUAAAAUCCAGCCUGUUGAGAAUAGUUAUACCGCUAGUCGGUCGCCAGAGCAUCGUCGGUCCAUUUGCAGGGUGCACCAUGAGCAGGAGCGUAGUUUUCGUGUCCGGUGAAGCGUCAAGUGCGAGCCCACCGCCUACCCGUUCCCACCGACAGAAGGGCGCGCCGCGCUGUCACCCGAAGCCCUACGCAGGCUAAUUGACUCAUCCACUAAGCAAAUCUGUAAGAAAGAACAUCAUGCACUUAUUUGUUUACCUCUGCGUUUAGGAUAAACUACAUUAAUUGAGCAUAUAACAAUUACAGUUAAGUUUCAUUUCGUCAAAUAGGUCAAUGUCAUUAAUCUACAAAAACCUACUCGUUAAUAAAGUUGAACUGUCUUUGA